AAUGGGCGGAAGCCUGAACCAGCCAUGCCGCGUGCGGGAAGAAGGCGCUACGCGUCGUAAACCGCUUUUGUCCGGGGGUAACCGCGGGGACGUGUCCCCGCCUGCAAGUACCGGACGAAUAAGGGUCGGCUAACUCCGUGCCAGCAGCCGCGGUAAUACGGAGGACCCGAGCGUUAUCCGGAUUCAUUGGGUUUAAAGGGUGCGCAGGCGGCCCGGUCAGUCAGCGGUGAAAUGCCCGCGCUUCACGCGGGAGCUGCCGUUGAUACUGCCGGGCUAGAAUCUCAGCGAGGCGGGCGGAAUGCGCGGUGUAGCGGUGAAAUGCAUAGAUAUCGCGCAGAACGCCGAUUGGGGAGCCAGCUCGCCAGCUGGGUAUUGACGCUGAGGCACGAAAGCGUGGGGAUCGAA
RNAcentral lists this ribosomal RNA (405 nucleotides) under uncultured bacterium. RNAcentral's name for it is "bacterial SSU rRNA". It matches the Rfam family "Bacterial small subunit ribosomal RNA", at positions 370 to 772 of the family's 1533-position model. The record is from RNAcentral.